RNAcentral lists this ribosomal RNA (253 nucleotides) under uncultured bacterium. Its description in RNAcentral is "partial 16S ribosomal RNA". It matches the Rfam family "Bacterial small subunit ribosomal RNA", at positions 524 to 776 of the family's 1533-position model. The record is from RNAcentral.
UACAGAGGUGGCAAGCGUUGUUCGGAAUUACUGGGCGUAAAGGGCGCGUAGGUGGCCUUUUGAGUCAGACGUGAAAUCCCCCGGCUUAACCUGGGAACUGCGUCUGAUACUGGAAGGCUUGAGUUCGGGAGAGGGAUGUGGAAUUCCAGGUGUAGCGGUGAAAUGCGUAGAUAUCUGGAGGAACACCGGUGGCGAAGGCGGCAUCCUGGACCGGUAUUGACGCUGAGGCGCGAAAGCCAGGGGAGCAAACGGG